Molecule: long non-coding RNA, 789 nt
Organism: Neofelis nebulosa (Clouded leopard)
Lineage: Eukaryota; Metazoa; Chordata; Mammalia; Carnivora; Felidae
Exons: 3
Source: RefSeq, a predicted model, not a curated record
GCCGCGGGCAGGCUGAGCGGAAGCGGUGCGGAGGCAGGGGACCAGGCGGUGGGCCUCCUGAUCCGCCUGCGGGUGGGAGCCCAAGUGCGCGAAGAAGCCGCGGUUCCCUCCCCGCCCAUCGCCCCUUCGGCCCCUGCGGGGGCUGUACCCCAGGCGUGCCAUCCGCAGAGGCUGAAAGCACCUGCCUGCUCUGAGGAGCAGACCAUAUUUUCAAUUGUGGUCUAGAAUCCAGUGGACCUUUUGAAGCAAUAACCAAGCCCUCCAGAGUUGGACUUCUCUGAGAAAUUGACAGUUGUUCCACAGUUCCCUGUGGUUCACUAGGUAUGAAGAAGCUUUGCAAGCACCUGGGAUGAAAUUGAGGUCAUGAGUCCCUAUUUAGCCACAGAUGCCCUUUUCUUCUACCUACCUCUAGCAGAUCCCUGUGGGCUUCCUCAGUGACCGAAUCUGCCUGCCUGGCAUUCCAAGGAUGGUGUGAUUAAAAGGGAUAGAUGCCAAGAAGAAUAAAGGAUACCGCAUGGGUGUUGAAGACAAAGGCAACUUCCUCAGUCUCAUUUGAGUGAAUCCGUGUGCCUUUUGCCUCAGCGAUUGUAGAGAAAGAUAAUUGUUCAUUAUUCUCAUGACCUGCGAGAAUGACUAAAAUACAACAUGGAGAAAAUCAUAGUACUAGUCCAUCACUGGACUCUUCCUGAAUAAAUCUUUGAAUAAGUCUGAAUAAAUCCUGAAUAAAUCUUUGAAUUGAUGGAAAUUUGUAUGAAGAGAAACUUGAGCUAUUAACACACAUAAUUUGUU